AGUGAACGCUGGCGGUAGGCCUAACACAUGCAAGUCGAACGGCAGCACAGUAAGAGCUUGCUCUUACGGGUGGCGAGUGGCGGACGGGUGAGGAAUACAUCGGAAUCUACUUUUUCGUGGGGGAUAACGUAGGGAAACUUACGCUAAUACCGCAUACGACCUACGGGUGAAAGCAGGGGAUCUUCGGACCUUGCGCGAUUGAAUGAGCCGAUGUCGGAUUAGCUAGUUGGCGGGGUAAAGGCCCACCAAGGCGACGAUCCGUAGCUGGUCUGAGAGGAUGAUCAGCCACACUGGAACUGAGACACGGUCCAGACCCCUACGGGAGGAAGCAGUGGGGAAUAUUGGACAAUGGGCGCAAGCCUGAUCCAGACAUACCGCGGGGGUGAAGAAGGCCUUCGGGUUGUAAGCCCUUUUGUUGGGAAAGAAAAGCAGCAGGUUAAUACCCCGCUGUUCUGACGGUACCCAAAGAAUAAGCACCGGCUAACUUCGUG
RNAcentral lists this ribosomal RNA (491 nucleotides) under uncultured bacterium. RNAcentral describes it as "partial 16S ribosomal RNA". It matches the Rfam family "Bacterial small subunit ribosomal RNA", at positions 29 to 507 of the family's 1533-position model. The record is from RNAcentral.